Long non-coding RNA from Leptidea sinapis, 387 nucleotides. RefSeq lists it as uncharacterized. The transcript has 2 exons. The record is from RefSeq and is a predicted model, not a curated record. NCBI's taxonomy places the organism in Eukaryota, Metazoa, Arthropoda, Insecta, Lepidoptera, Pieridae.
AUUCUACAUCACAGAAAAUGGCUGGUCCCAAGCAGGUGCCGGUUUGGAAUAUUAUGAUAGAAUAUCUUAUUACAGAUCAGCACUUAACAAUGUGCUUGAUAGCUUGGAGGCGGGAAUAAAACUCAAGGGUUACAUGGCGUGGAGUCUUCUUGAUAACUUUGAGUGGAUGCAAGGAUAUGCGGAACGGUUUGGCCUGUAUGAAGUAGAUUUCGAAUCUUCAGAGAAGACGCGCACUCCAAGGAAAUCCGCAUUCAUUUACAAGGAGAUUAUUCGAAGCCGCACUAUUGAUCCUGACUACGAACCACCCACCCGAACUAUGUGGAUUGAUGAAGGACAUUAAAUUGACUAUUAUUAAAUUAAUUUUAACUUUUUAUAUUAUGACGCUUA